GGAGCGGUAGUUCAGUUGGUUAGAACGCCUGCCUGUCACGCAGGAGGUCGCGUUCAAGUCCCGUCCGUUCCGCCA
This 75-nucleotide transfer RNA is filed under the name Candidatus Peregrinibacteria bacterium. RNAcentral describes it as "tRNA-Asp". It matches the Rfam family "tRNA". Rfam says of the family: Transfer RNA (tRNA) molecules are approximately 80 nucleotides in length. Their secondary structure includes four short double-helical elements and three loops (D, anti-codon, and T loops). Further hydrogen bonds mediate the characteristic L-shaped molecular structure. tRNAs have two regions of fundamental functional importance: the anti-codon, which is responsible for specific mRNA codon recognition, and the 3' end, to which the tRNAs corresponding amino acid is attached (by aminoacyl-tRNA synthetases). tRNAs cope with the degeneracy of the genetic code in two manners: having more than one tRNA (with a specific anti-codon) for a particular amino acid; and 'wobble' base-pairing, i.e. permitting non-standard base-pairing at the 3rd anti-codon position. Lineage: Bacteria; Candidatus Peregrinibacteriota. The record is from RNAcentral.